Long non-coding RNA from Actinia tenebrosa (Australian red waratah sea anemone), 1084 nucleotides. RefSeq lists it as uncharacterized. The record is from RefSeq and is a predicted model, not a curated record. Lineage: Eukaryota; Metazoa; Cnidaria; Anthozoa; Actiniaria; Actiniidae.
UUUCUAGACAUUAUGAUUUUGAUAUGUUUUACUAAAGGGGGUUAAUAGAGUGCCAACGAUAUAACCGUGAAACUUUAGUAAUACUAAAUAAUAACACAAAUUCAUGCAAAUUCCAUUGCUUUCUAUUGUUUACUGAUUAGUGUUUCACGGAUUAAUUGUUUGCAUUCUUAGCAGGGCCAACUCAAUGAUUAUUGUCUAAAAAACAAAAUAGGUUACGCAAUACAUAGCGCCCUAUUUGUUAUUUAAGCUAUUUAGCAUUCCGUCGUUUAUGUUCUGCUAUAAUAAUAAUUAUGAUGAUGAUGUUGAUAAUAAUAAUAACCUUUCUUGAGUAUCCUCCCAAGUUUAAAAAUGGCAAAAAAGUAAGCCGCUAGCUUGAACGAGUUGAAUAAACCCGUUACAACUGGUUAUUACCGAACCAGCUGCGACCGCUAGUCAACCCGUUGUAGCAGAUUCAUCGCCAAGUAUAAUACUUGUACUUCUGGUAUAUUCAGAAGCCGUUGUAACGGGUUGAAGCUGAACCAGUCGUAGCGGGUUCGACUGUAACGGGUUAGUCAACCCGUUGUAGCAGGUUCAACGCCAAGUAUAAUACGACUUGUACUUUUGGUAUAUCCUGAAGCCGUUGUAACGGGUUGAAGCUGAACCAGUCGUAGCGGGUUCAGUAAUAACCAAGUUGUAACGAGUGUCAGUUGUAACGGGUUUAUUCAACCCGUUCUAGCGGCUUACUUUUUUUUGCCAUUGUUGUGGUGCUGAAGUAGUGACCAAGACAUCGAUGAUAAUGUUGUACUGGGUGACGCGGUGUCCUGGGUAUCUCUACUCCGUUGACUAAUUGCAUAUAAACGAGACAGACAGACAACUUUAUCGAAACACGUUUUACAGGAAAGCAAAAUAAAACAAAGAAAAGAAGUAAAAAGUAUUAAAAAAGAAUUCAUGAAACCAUGGUUACCAUGAUGUAGAAAACUAUCCUCCUCAUUACUGGAUUCUACAACAGAAAUAUGGUUAAAUGGUUCCUCAAAGGAGAAUAAGUACACCUUUUUAGCAUCACUUUUCACUACAACUGUCUUCACCCAAUCUAAAAACUUAUUCA